Molecule: unclassified non-coding RNA, 178 nt
Filed under: rhizosphere metagenome
Description: partial ribosomal RNA internal transcribed spacer region
Source: RNAcentral
AAUGAAGCCGGGAAACCGGUCCUUCUAACCCUUGAUUAUCUUAAUUUGUUGCUUUGGUGGGCCGCGCAAGCACCGGCUUCGGCUGGAUUGUGCCCGCCAGAGGACCACAACUCUGUCAUUUAUGUCGUCUGAUUACUAUUUAAUAGUUAAAACUUUCAACAACGGAUCUCUUGGUUCU